This is a long non-coding RNA of Perca fluviatilis (European perch), 218 nucleotides long. RefSeq lists it as uncharacterized. The record is from RefSeq and is a predicted model, not a curated record. NCBI's taxonomy places the organism in Eukaryota, Metazoa, Chordata, Actinopteri, Perciformes, Percidae. The transcript is spliced from 3 exons.
AUUCUCCUUGACCCACCACAAGUGCACAUUGAGGAUGCAGCCGGGACCCAAGUCGACCCAGGAGAAGGCCCAAGCCAACAGCCACACGAUGAUGAUGAUGAUGAUGAUGACUAUGACGAUGAUGAAACCCUCACCGGUCGAGACAGUGAGCUCCAAGAUGAACCUAGGCCUUCCCCAGCUGGCAAGAGGACUACAUCUGCUGGACGAAGUGAAGUGAG